RNAcentral lists this long non-coding RNA (2982 nucleotides) under Gallus gallus (chicken). The record is from RNAcentral. Lineage: Eukaryota; Metazoa; Chordata; Aves; Galliformes; Phasianidae.
GGGAUUUGGUAUCUGGUAAGAAGGCUCUUCUCCAAUUCAGUAGUUUCAUUAGGUUCAAAUUCUACAAUAGUCUUAGAAGUAGAAUCCCAACGCUUAGCUGUAGUUAGUAGCUGUUGCCGUGCAUGCAUCAGGUAUUCAAGAUCUUCAGUUGAAGCAGCAUCAAUCAUUACUCGUUGCAUGAGGACUGGUUCCAAUCCAAAAUCAAACACAACAGUUUGGCGAAAAGUUCCAAAGAUUUCUGUGUUAAAAGCUAUACUGACUUUGUAUAUAUAGUGAUCUAUUCCAUUCUGGACCAUCUUUCCUCCUAUCCACUCCUGACAGUUUUCUGGAACUUCUUGUGAUACCUGGGUAGUGCUGUCUCCAGCAGAUAUUGCAAUGAUACUGAAAUGUGGACGAUGGGCAUCAUAAAGCAAUGCCACUCGAUACAGCAUUCUUGCAGGCUUACAGGUGAGAGCAAACGUCCAAGUUUGAUGAGACUUCUUGGUGGUGACAGUUACUGAUAGCUCAGGAUUAUGUUCUACUCUCACUCCUUCUAUACUUUCACUAAGCACUUUCUCAGGAGAUAACGAAUUCAUCCAUUUCUCAAUCAAGGUUUCCAUAUAACUGCCCGAACAUUGUUUGUUUUCCUUCUGCUGUUUUAAUCUGAUCAAGCGGGAAGCAUAUCGUUUUUGCCAUUCUGUUAGCUCUUCCUGGGAAUGUGCUGAAGUACACUGUGCACCGUACCUGCAGAUCCCUUGCUCUAAAAAUCUUUUACAUAGUGUAUAUUCUUCACUGCUUGUGACUCCCCUGGGUGGAGGACGGAACUGCCAGCCAUCCCGGGACCCUUCUUCUAAAUCUUCUACAUGAUAUCCUGAUGGAACUUUAUCAGCUGCCUCUGUUUCAGCAAGAAGUGUUUUCAGUCGUGUCAGAUCUUUAGUUACCAUCCCGUUCAGUGAUUCACCCAUCAGUGAUUUGGAAAGAACAUUAGACACAAUUUGCAGCUUCCCUUUAAGAUGCAUGCAGCAGAGCACUGCACGGAAAGAUCCAUCUCCCUUGGCCAGCCCCUCUCCCAGCACUGUCAUUACUUUCUACGCCAUCUUGGAUCCACUUGUCAACGUCCCCACAAAGCAUUGUGGGAAAGCCCUCCCCCGCCCUCCUCCCGGCCCGGCGGGCAGCGGGGGAAGGCGGAGGGCGGCCGGGCGGGCUCGGCCGGGCCGGGGUGAGGCGGGCCGGGUUUGGUACCGAGGCUGUCCGCCGCACCUCGGGGACACGGGCUGGGGGCGGGCGGCGGGUGUGAGAGCUGUGGCCGCGGCUCUGCCCUCCCUUCUGACCGCUGUGCGAGGGGGCACGGCCGGGCGGAUGGGGGCCGGCAGGCGCUUUCUUCUAUUUUUUGGGGGGUUGUUUUUCUUGUUUUGGUUUGUUUUCUGGCCGGGGUUGGGAGCGUUGUUUUUGCCCCCUCCCGUUUCCCGGGAAUCGUGUCGCUGCCUCCACACGCUCGCAGCAGAGCUGCCAAGGCCGACAGGUCCCGGCGGGGCGGCCCUCAGGUGCCCGCCUGCGCGCGGAGAGCUGCGCGCCCGCCCGGCGGAGCCCCCCGAGCCGAGCAGGUUGGGCCUUCCCUUCUCUUUCCUUUGUUUGUUUACAGCUAUCGCUCUUAAACGUGUGAAAAACUGGAUCCCUGCGGAAGGGCUGCGGUUUAGAUGACGGAACACCUCACGCGUUUGAGAAACUCCAUCUCGUUUUGCUGAAGGACCGCCGGUAACGCGUUGCUGGCUGGGCACGAAUCCCAAAAACUGCUUUGCAAAACACGUUUGGCCAUCGGUGCUUUCAAUGCCGAGGCUGGUUUGCAACGUUUUUUUCUGGCCCCGCACAGCUCUGUUCUCCUCCUGAGCUGUGAUGGGAGAGCGGUUGCUCCAGCACCUUCCUUAUGUUUAUCAGCAGGAUUCCAGUUGUUGUUUGUUGGUUGUUGUUUUUUUGUUUUUUUUUUAACUUUUCUACUUUAAUUAAAGUAAUUGUAAGAUUUACAUCAUGUGAGUAUUGGAUUUUCCUAAAUACAUUUAUAUUUAAAUCUGUGCUUAACGCCUCCUAACUCUUUGAAGAGUAACCACCAGCUGAGUCUGUGAUGCACUGCCACUGCAAGAAGGUCUGAAAACUACAGCUUCUUGCUGGAAAUUCAGAUGGCUCAACCUCCUGAAGAAUGUAACUGCAAGGAAGCCCUGAACACAAGGAGACUCAGCAUAAACAGAUUUCACCUACGCAGCUAGUGUAAGAGAUGCCUUUGGCCUGAGAAUUGCUUAUUAGAAAGAGCACUUACUUAUACUUCGGGAUUUCUUCUAGCUUUUUGUCACUACUAAUUCUGUGCACCAAAUCAGAUUGUUCGUUGUCAUAAGGUGAAAGAAUAACAUAAAGAACAACGCUCUUCAGUGCCUGUGAUAAGAAAGAGUGGGUUUUUUUUCCAUAACUAAACAGAAGCAUUGAAAACUACUUCACAGAGCUUAGAAUUUAACACAUAAAAUGGUUAUGUCAAACAUAUUAAGAAAGUAAGGUGAAAUUGAUGUUGCAGAAAUGAACCUCCCUUCAUAGCAAUACAUUUAAAUUGAUACAGGUUAACUAAAAUUCCAAAUUUCAAAGAUUUUUUUUUUUUACUUAAAUGUAUAACAUUCCCAUUUCAUAUACAACAGUAUAAGGACUUGCAGAGCUGUUUCUAAUUUGUGCACUUCCACAAAACCAAAAAGAUAUUCUCAAGAUUUUAAAGACAGUAAAAGAAAUUGGGUAUAAAUAUUCUUUUGACAUCAACUUUAUUACACCCAUUCUCAACUAACCAAUUUGUUAAUAUGAUCUGGUAUUUGAAAGUAACAAGAAUAGACUUAAGAGCAACUUAAUCUAUUGUAAAUUGAUCUGGUAAUGACAUGGCUGAAUAGGUAUUUGCCAUGUGAAAAUACAGACAUUUUGUUUGCUGUCUGGUUCUUUUGUUGUUGUUUUUACCUGCUGCCACUUUUCACUCUC